Molecule: ribosomal RNA, 253 nt
Filed under: uncultured bacterium
Lineage: Bacteria
Description: partial 16S ribosomal RNA
Rfam family: Bacterial small subunit ribosomal RNA
Source: RNAcentral
GAUAGAGAAUGCAAGCGUUAUCCGGAAUGAUUGGGCGUACAUCGUCUGUAGGUGGCUUUUCAAGUCCGCUGUCAAAUCCCAGGGCUCAACCCUGGACAGGCUGUGGAAACUACCAAGCUGGAGUACAGUAGGGGCAGAGGGAAUUUCCGGUGGAGCAGUGAAAUGCGCAGAUAUCGGGAGGAACACCAGUAGCGAAGGCGGCACUCUGGGCCGUGACUGACGCUGAGGAGCGAAAGCGUGGGUAGCAAACAGG